GUCACAUUUCGCUGCAUCCCGCCAAGAUUAUUUCUUUAAAAUGUUUCCAGGUAUUAUCCACAGGCUCUUUUUGCCAUACAAUGUUUCUUAAACUCAUUCUUGUGCCAAAAUUCAGUUAAAUUCGUCCACAUUUGUUAGAAAUACGUAUCUAAAUUUCCCCGCCAUAUUGGAUUUUGUUGUUUUGAUUUCCCGCUCCCCCCAGCCAUCACGAAAAUCAUUAAUUGCACUCCUGGAGAGUGCAAUUAAUGAAAUAAUUGCACUCCUCUUAACCAAUCAGAUUGCAGUAAUUUUGUUAUGUAUAUAAUAAAUAAUUUAAUCGUUGUUGUGCCGGUUUGGGUAUAAGUGUAGACAUGUCAGUAGUAUAAUUCCAUUCUGAACUUGCUUUGUGUUGUCGAUUUUAUUCAAAUCUGCGACAUUUGUAAGCCAUUCUUGACACGGUAAUUCACAAUGAAUAAUGUGUUUUAAUGCAAGCUGGUAUACAUGAAAUUACAGCGAACGUUAUCUCGAAUGUUAUCGUUAUUAAGCUAACGCAUCAGUUGCGUUUUUAUGUUUGUUUAUGGUCUUAAUACUUUAUGUGGAAUUUAAAA
Molecule: non-coding RNA, 587 nt
Organism: Paramuricea clavata
Lineage: Eukaryota; Metazoa; Cnidaria; Anthozoa; Malacalcyonacea; Plexauridae
Source: the annotation of a GenBank genome assembly